RNAcentral lists this ribosomal RNA (253 nucleotides) under uncultured bacterium. Its description in RNAcentral is "partial 16S ribosomal RNA". It matches the Rfam family "Bacterial small subunit ribosomal RNA", at positions 524 to 776 of the family's 1533-position model. The record is from RNAcentral.
UACGUAGGUGGCAAGCGUUGUCCGGAUUUAUUGGGUUUAAAGGGUGCGUAGGCGGCUUUGUAAGUCAGUGGUGAAAUAUGGCAGCUCAACUGUCAGGGUGCCAUUGAUACUGCAGAGCUUGAGUACAGAUGAGGUAGGCGGAAUUGACGGUGUAGCGGUGAAAUGCUUAGAUAUCGUCAAGAACACCGAUAGCGAAGGCAGCUUACUGGGCUGUAACUGACGCUGAGGCACGAAGGCCAGGGGAGCAAACGGG